GUAGAGACUCAGAGUCUCAUCUUGACACUAAUCAUUGUCUUGGUGUGCUAGAGUUCUCUUAAAGUGAAGACUGGUCCUAUUCACUGACUGGCUCUUUGUAGGCCAGUCAGCCACAUGGGCAGUUACACAC
This is a small nucleolar RNA of Sparus aurata (gilthead seabream), 130 nucleotides long. NCBI's taxonomy places the organism in Eukaryota, Metazoa, Chordata, Actinopteri, Spariformes, Sparidae. The record is from Ensembl.